UAAAUCGCAUAGGAGAUCUCGUCAAGGAAUAUCGCAAAUCAGGUGAGCCUUGAUGUGGGGACUUGGGCCGGAGAGGAUUCAGAGUGGCCACGGUGAUCAUCUUUGGGCUUUUAAAUAAGUGUUGGUUUUCAUUUAAUUUCCUUUAAUUAUUAUUUAUUUUUGGGUUGUAAUAAGGCCAAUUUUAACUUUCCUUUUAUUUCUUUUCGGAAUUAUUUUAAUUUUAAUAACUUUAAAAAUUGGUUAAUAA
Gossypium arboreum is the source of this 247-nucleotide long non-coding RNA. RefSeq lists it as uncharacterized. The transcript is spliced from 2 exons. Lineage: Eukaryota; Viridiplantae; Streptophyta; Magnoliopsida; Malvales; Malvaceae. The record is from RefSeq and is a predicted model, not a curated record.